RNAcentral lists this long non-coding RNA (642 nucleotides) under Phascolarctos cinereus (koala). Its description in RNAcentral is "lncRNA (ENSPCIG00000035678.1)". Lineage: Eukaryota; Metazoa; Chordata; Mammalia; Diprotodontia; Phascolarctidae. The record is from RNAcentral.
CCAAAUUUUAUUCAUUUCUUCUUUUGUUUUCAGAACUUUUCUGUAUGUGCAGUUGUUUUUUUUUCUAUUUGUUUCUUUUCCAAGUUUUUUUCUUUUGAUCUUUCCGAUUUCUUUUUUAUUCAUGAAUAUAUUUGGAGAGAUGAAUUUUAGAUAAGCAUUGCUUUCCUUGAAUCCUGAAAAUUUGGGUAUGGUGGCUCAUUUUAUCAGUUUAUUCUAUGAGAUGAUCUCUACUUUUUCUGAUUUGUCCUAUGUGCGUUUUGUUUUCCACCUUUUGCUCAGGUGCUCUCCAGAUAUUGACUGCCUGACUGACUGAUUUGAUCUGCUGGGACCCCAUCCCCUGCGCAGCGUUAUGGCCUGCGUUCCAUAGGCUGAAUCAAGCCCCGCCUCCAUCGGUGACGUCACGGGGCUCCUCCUUUCUGCGGUUUUCACCUGCCUGGGGCCCCCAGCAUUCUGUGAAAAGAGGCCGCCAACGGAAGCAGCCAGAGCUCCGUCCGCCUCCCAUCCUCCCCGCCCCCACCCCAACCCCACCCCCUCUCCCCCCUCCCCGGGCCUGCCUGAUCCUCGGUGAGAGUCCCCUGUCUGUGGGAGUUUCCCCCUCCAGAGGCCAGCGAACAAACGUCACAGGCCCGGAUCUUCAACUCC